GAUGAACGCUAGCGGCAGGCUUAACACAUGCAAGUCGAGGGGCAGCGUGAGGGUUAGCAAUAACCCUUGACGGCGACCGGCGCAAGGGUGCGUAACGCGUGAGCAACUUGCCCUUAUCAGGGGGAUAACCGGUGGAAACGCCGACUAAUACCCCAUGGCAUUGAGUUGAGGCAUCUCUACUCAAUUAAAGAAUUCGGAUAAGGAUAGGCUCGCGUGACAUUAGCUAGACGGCGGGGUAACGGCCCACCGUGGCUACGAUGUCUAGGGGUUCUGAGAGGAAGGUCCCCCACACUGGAACUGAGACACGGUCCAGACUCCUACGGGAGGCAGCAGUGAGGAAUAUUGGGUCAAUGGUCGGAAGACUGAACCAGCCAAGUAGCGUGAAGGAUGAAGGUUCUAUGGAUUGUAAACUUCUUUAUACGGGAUAAACCGCCUACGUGUAGGUGCUUGUAUGUACCGUAUGAAUAAGCAUCGGCUAACUCCGUG
This 486-nucleotide ribosomal RNA is filed under the name uncultured bacterium. RNAcentral's name for it is "bacterial SSU rRNA". It matches the Rfam family "Bacterial small subunit ribosomal RNA", at positions 28 to 507 of the family's 1533-position model. The record is from RNAcentral.